RNAcentral lists this ribosomal RNA (445 nucleotides) under uncultured bacterium. RNAcentral describes it as "partial 16S ribosomal RNA". It matches the Rfam family "Bacterial small subunit ribosomal RNA", at positions 354 to 796 of the family's 1533-position model. The record is from RNAcentral.
GUGAGGAAUAUUGGUCAAUGGGCGAGAGCCUGAACCAGCCAAGUCGCGUGAAGGAAGAAGGAUCUAUGGUUCGUAAACUUCUUUUGCAGGGGAAUAAAGUGCAGGACGUGUCCUGUUUUGUAUGUACCCUGAGAAUAAGGAUCGGCUAACUCCGUGCCAGCAGCCGCGGUAAUACGGAGGAUCCGAGCGUUAUCCGGAUUUAUUGGGUUUAAAGGGUGCGUAGGUGGUUUGAUAAGUCAGCGGUGAAAGUUUGCAGCUUAACUGUAAAAAUGCCGUUGAAACUGUCGGACUUGAGUGGAAAUGAGGUAGGCGGAAUGCGUGGUGUAGCGGUGAAGUGCAUAGAUAUCACGCAGAACUCCGAUUGCGAAGGCAGCUUACUAAGCUACAACUGACACUGAAGCACGAAAGCGUGGGGAUCAAACAGGAUUAGAAACCCGAGUAGUCC